GACGAACGCUGGCGGCGUGCUUAACACAUGCAAGUCGAGCGGAGCGGCGAACGGGUGAGUAACGCGUGAGUAACUGCCCCCCUCUCUGGGAUAACAGUUGGAAACGGCUGCUAAUCCCGGAUAGUGGGGGAUGACUCGCGUCCUAUCAGAUUGUUGGUGGGGUAGUGGCCUACCAAGGCGACGACGUGUGUCCGGCCUGGGAGGGCGACCGGCCACGUUGGGCUGUGAGACGGCCCGAACUCCUCCGGGAGUCAGCAGUGGGGAAUAUUUCACACUGGGGGAGACCCUGAGGCAGCACCGCCGCGUGCGGGGUGAGGGCCUUCUGGUUGUAAACCGCUGUCAGCCAUGACGCGGUAGUGGCAGAAGAAGCACCGGCUAACUACGUGCCAGCAGCCGCGGUAAUAC
This 405-nucleotide ribosomal RNA is filed under the name uncultured bacterium. RNAcentral's name for it is "partial 16S ribosomal RNA". It matches the Rfam family "Bacterial small subunit ribosomal RNA", at positions 28 to 526 of the family's 1533-position model. The record is from RNAcentral.